CUCGGUUCUUGGGCCAGGAAUACGGUAGAACCUUACAUAACCCUGCUGUGGAGCCCUUGGAAGGGAACACUGGCCUCCUGUGAAAAUCUGCUGAGGAGAGAUCUACGUGGUGAGUGAAUACCAAGUUUAUGGCUCCAACCUAGAUCCUUCGCUGAGCACCAGACACGCAAUGAUUACAAAUCCUGAAAAUGGAUCCGAAGGUUGUCCCAAGCUGACUUCCCUGCCACUUGUCG
Sorex araneus (European shrew) is the source of this 233-nucleotide long non-coding RNA. RefSeq lists it as uncharacterized. The record is from RefSeq and is a predicted model, not a curated record. NCBI's taxonomy places the organism in Eukaryota, Metazoa, Chordata, Mammalia, Eulipotyphla, Soricidae. The transcript has 3 exons.